RNAcentral lists this ribosomal RNA (504 nucleotides) under uncultured bacterium. RNAcentral describes it as "partial 16S ribosomal RNA". It matches the Rfam family "Bacterial small subunit ribosomal RNA", at positions 29 to 523 of the family's 1533-position model. The record is from RNAcentral.
AUUGAACGCUGGCGGCAGGCCUAACACAUGCAAGUCGAACGGUAGCACAGAGAGCUUGCUCUCGGGUGACGAGUGGCGGACGGGUGAGUAAUGUCUGGGAAACUGCCUGAUGGAGGGGGAUAACUACUGGAAACGGUAGCUAAUACCGCAUAAUGUCGCAAGACCAAAGAGGGGGACCUUCGGGCCUCUUGCCAUCGGAUGUGCCCAGAUGGGAUUAGCUUGUUGGUGAGGUAAAGGCCCACCAAGGCGACGAACCCUAGCUGGUCUGCGAGGAUGACCAGCCACACUGGAACUGAGACACGGGCCAGACUCCUACGGGAGGCAGCAGUGGGGAAUAUUGCACAAUGGGCGAAAGCCUGAUGCAGCCAUGCCGCGUGUAUGAAGAAGGCCUUCGGGUUGCAAAGUACUUUCAGCGGGGAGGAAGGCGGUGGAGUUAAUAACUUCACCGAUUGACGUUACCCGCAGAAGAAGCACCGGCUAACUCCGUGCCAGCCGCCGCGGUAA